This is a non-coding RNA of Phrynosoma platyrhinos (Desert horned lizard), 72 nucleotides long. NCBI's taxonomy places the organism in Eukaryota, Metazoa, Chordata, Lepidosauria, Squamata, Phrynosomatidae. The record is from the annotation of a GenBank genome assembly.
GCCAGCAUGGCAUAGUGGUUUGAGUGUUGGACUAGUAUUCUGGAGGCCAGGAUUCGAUUCUCUGCUCAGCCA